AUUGAACGCUGGCGGCAGGCCUAACACAUGCAAGUCGAACGGUAACAGGAAGAAGCUUGCUUCUUUGCUGACGAGUGGCGGACGGGUGAGUAAUGUCUGGGAAACUGCCUGAUGGAGGGGGAUAACUACUGGAAAGGGUAGCUAUAACCGCUUACCGUCGCAGACCCAAAAGGGGGGCCUUUCGGGCCUCUUGCAAUCGGUUGUGCCCAGAUGGGAUUAGCUAGUAGGUGGGGUAACGGCUCACCUAGGCGACGAUCCCUAGCUGGUCUGAGAGGAUAACCAGCCACACUGGAACUGAGACACGGUCCAGACUCCUACGGGAGGCAGCAGUGGGGAAUAUUGCACAAUGGGCGCAAGCCUGAUGCAGCCAUGCCGCGUGUAUGAAGAAGGCCUUCGGGUUGUAAAGUACUUUCAGCGGGGAGGAAGGGAGUAAAGUUAAUACCUUUGCUCAUUGACGUUACCCGCAGAAGAAGCACCGGCUAACUCCGUG
RNAcentral lists this ribosomal RNA (490 nucleotides) under uncultured bacterium. RNAcentral's name for it is "partial 16S ribosomal RNA". It matches the Rfam family "Bacterial small subunit ribosomal RNA", at positions 30 to 507 of the family's 1533-position model. The record is from RNAcentral.